This 253-nucleotide ribosomal RNA is filed under the name uncultured bacterium. RNAcentral describes it as "partial 16S ribosomal RNA". It matches the Rfam family "Bacterial small subunit ribosomal RNA", at positions 524 to 776 of the family's 1533-position model. The record is from RNAcentral.
UACGUAGGGGGCGAGCGUUGUCCGGAUUUAUUGGGCGUAAAGAGCGUGUAGGCGGCCAGGUAGGUCUGCUGUGAAAACUCGAGGCUCAACCUCGAGACGUCGGCGGAAACCAUCUGGCUAGAGUCCGGAAGAGGAGAGUGGAAUUCCUGGUGUAGAGGUGAAAUUCGUAGAUAUCGGGAGGAACACCGGUGGCGAAGGCGGCGAUCUGGGUCGAUACUGACGCUGAGGUGCGAAAGCGUGGGGAGCAAACAGG